GACGAACGCUGGCGACGUGCCUAAUACAUGCAAGUUGAGCGCUGAAGGUUGGUACUUGUACCGACUGGAUGAGCAGCGAACGGAUGAGUAACGCGUGGGGAAUCUGCCUUUGAGCGGGGGACAACAUUUGGAAACGAAUGCUAAUACCGCAUAACAACUUUAAACACAAGUUUUAAGUUUGAAAGAUGCAAUUGCAUCACUCAAAGAUGAUCCCGCGUUGUAUUAGCUAGUUGGUGAGGUAAAGGCUCACCAAGGCGAUGAUACAUAGCCGACCUGAGAGGGUGAUCGGCCACAUUGGGACUGAGACACGGCCCAAACUCCUACGGGAGGCAGCAGUAGGGAAUCUUCGGCAAUGGACGAAAGUCUGACCGAGCAACGCCGCGUGAGUGAAGAAGGUUUUCGGAUCGUAAAACUCUGUUGGUAGAGAAGAACGUUGGUGAGAGUGGAAAGCUCAUCAAGUGACGGUAACUACCCAGAAAGGGACGGCUAACUACGUGCCAGCAGCCGCGGUAA
This 513-nucleotide ribosomal RNA is filed under the name uncultured bacterium. RNAcentral describes it as "partial 16S ribosomal RNA". It matches the Rfam family "Bacterial small subunit ribosomal RNA", at positions 28 to 523 of the family's 1533-position model. The record is from RNAcentral.